CGCACGGGUGCGCACCGCGUAUGGAAUCUGCCUUUUGCAGGGGAAUAGCCCAGGGAAACUUGGAUUAAUGCCCCGUGGCACCUUUAUAUAGCAUUAUAUUAAGGUUAAAGUCUUCGGGCGGCAAAAGAUGACCAUGCGUCCCAUUAGCUAGAUGGUAAGGUAACGGCUUACCAUGGCUACGAUGGGUAGGGGCCCUGAGAGGGGGAUCCCCCACACUGGUACUGAGACACGGACCAGACUCCUACGGGAGGCAGCAGUGAGGAAUAUUGGACAAUGGAGGAGACUCUGAUCCAGCCAUGCCGCGUGCAGGAAGACGGCCCUAUGGGUUGUAAACUGCUUUUAUACGGGAAGAAAAAAGGGUACGUGUACCCUACUGACGGUACCGUAAGAAUAAGGACCGGCUAACUCCGUGCCAGCAGCCGCGGUAAUACGGAGGGUCCGAGCGUUAUCCGGAAUUAUUGGGUUUAAAGGGUCCGUAGGCGGGCCAUUAAGUCAGGGGUGAAAGUCUGCGGCUCAACCGUAGUAUUGCCUUUGAUACUGGUGGUCUUGAGUUAUGGUGAAGUGGCUGGAAUAUGUAGUGUAGCGGUGAAAUGCAUAGAUAUUACAUAGAACACCGAUUGCGAAGGCAGGUCACUAACCAUAUACUGACGCUGAUGGACGAAAGCGUGGGGAGCGAACAGGAUUAGAUACCC
RNAcentral lists this ribosomal RNA (692 nucleotides) under uncultured Oceanistipes sp. RNAcentral describes it as "bacterial SSU rRNA". It matches the Rfam family "Bacterial small subunit ribosomal RNA", at positions 99 to 787 of the family's 1533-position model. Lineage: Bacteria; Pseudomonadati; Bacteroidota; Flavobacteriia; Flavobacteriales; Flavobacteriaceae. The record is from RNAcentral.